RNAcentral lists this long non-coding RNA (286 nucleotides) under Elaeis guineensis (African oil palm). RNAcentral's name for it is "long non-coding RNA (EGUI_LNC023726)". The record is from RNAcentral. Lineage: Eukaryota; Viridiplantae; Streptophyta; Magnoliopsida; Arecales; Arecaceae.
CGGCGGCGACCGCGGCUCCCUCGACUCCAGCUUCUCCGGUGCAGGCAGAUUUUUGUACCAACAGGAUUGGCGCUAGAGGAAGGGCUGUGUCUUUGCAGUACCCUUAUUCUUAAAGGAGCGCUCAACGGGAUUGCCCCCGGGCAUCUUUUCCGGUGCCCUCUCCUCCUUCCUCCACUUGAUUUUUGCCCGAUGCCUCCCCGCAAGGCGUCCACACGACGAUCCACGGCCUCCGCGGCCAGAUCUCAGGCUCCGGCCUCACCUCCAGUUUUCCAGCCUCCUCCUCCUC